This 495-nucleotide ribosomal RNA is filed under the name uncultured bacterium. RNAcentral's name for it is "bacterial SSU rRNA". It matches the Rfam family "Bacterial small subunit ribosomal RNA", at positions 347 to 838 of the family's 1533-position model. The record is from RNAcentral.
GGCAGCAGUGAGAAAUAUUGGUCAAUGGGCGGAAGCCUGAACCAGCCAAGUCGCGUGAGGGAAGACGGUCCUAUGGAUUGUAAACCUCUUUUGCAGGGGAGCAAGGCGCGGUACGUGUACCGCGAAGGAGAGUACCCUGAGAAAAAGCAUCGGCUAACUCCGUGCCAGCAGCCGCGGUAAUACGGAGGAUGCGAGCGUUAUCCGGAUUUAUUGGGUUUAAAGGGUGCGCAGGCGGACUGUUAAGUCAGCGGUAAAAUGUCGGUGCUCAACACCGGCCGGCCGUUGAAACUGGCAGCCUUGAGUGAGCGAGAAGUAUGCGGAAUGCGUGGUGUAGCGGUGAAAUGCAUAGAUAUCACGCAGAACUCCGAUUGCGAAGGCAGCAUACCGGCGCUCAACUGACGCUCAGGCACGAAAGCGUGGGUAUCGAACAGGCUUAGAUACCCUGGUAGUCCACGCAGUAAACGAUGAAUGCUCACUGUCCGGGCCGUUUAAGGC